AAUGAUCACGUUUUAUUAUUCACUUGGAGAUCAAUAAAUACACCCCCACAGCUACUGAAAGCUCAAUCAAAACACACAACUCAUAAAAUCCAAAUUAAAUUUCUUCUUUUUUCCAUACACAGAAGCAUAAUGCACCAAAACAUACAACAAAAAAAAAAAAUCCAAGAGACUUAGAUUGGUUUUUAGAUGCUCUUUGACCAAAGCAACAGGGGAGAGAAUUCCGGAGCCAGCCACCUCAGAGCAGUGUAUUUUGUCAGCAGUGCUCUCUCCUCUCUCAAGGAGAAUCCAACCCUCUUCCCAAAGGAAGAAGGGAAUCAGUUCAGGAGAUUGGGGAGCAGCCUUGCAUAAACUUACCAUAGAAAUAAAGAAGUGUAAAACAGACCCUUUAACACAAACAUUUUAAAAUUAUGGACUAGCUGACAGAGGCCACUUAACAGAAAAACCCAACAACAAACCCAAACAAAACAAACCCUAUAACAACAACAACAAAAACCCCAAACCAAAUAAAAAGAACAAACCAGGACAUCUGGAGAAAGAGGAAAGGUGUAGGUAAUAUUUUAUCACACAUUUCAUCCAGAAAAAUAAAGCAAAACUAUUCCAAAAGACUGCUGCAAAUUUUAAAAACAAAUAAAUAAAAUUCUAAUGGAUGCUGAGUAUAUGCAGUAGGGACCAUGCAUGAACAGAGAGUUGAUGCUUUAAACAGGUUUUUCUGUUAGAGGUUCAUUCAAAGCAGACAAUUUUAAAUAAGAAUAAAUAAAAUAAAAAAAUAAUAAAAUUGUGGAAAUAAAAAUAAGGAGAACUCUGUAGAGGAAAAUACUUGUCUCUCACAGGAUCAAAAAUGAAAACAGUAUUAAUCACAUGCCCCUAGAGAAUUUGAUAUUAAGCACUACUCAUGACAAAAGAAAAAAAAAAAAAGUAAUUCAAAUAUAUUUCAACUAUGAUAUACACCCAUUAAGAUUCUUAUCUCUCAAAUUUUACAUCUCUGCUUUCUUUCCUCAGCAAAAUCAGAAAAUGGCUUAUGAGGAAGAAUGGAAGGUUAAAAAAGCAAAUCAAAUGGAAUUGCAGCAGGCAGGUAAAAAUCAAGCCAUGCUUGGAGCCAGGACAACUUUUUGAAUGGAUUUACAUUACUGCUUAAGUGAAGUACUUUGCCAUGAUUUUGGACAGAUCUGCUGAGGAGUGCAUUCCCAAAGCCAAGCAGAAGAUGCAUAGUUACCCAGAAAAUAAAGAGUGAUCCUAAUUUGUCCACAGUAAUGAAGCUGUCAUCCUACUAAAUGCAAACAUUUCUAUUUUUUGGUGAAAAGACACUUUUUUAAAAUUUUAACAUGCUUCUAAACUUCAUGCUUUUCUGCUGAGUUUACGCAACUUGCAUCAGCAGACUCACACAGCUCAUUUGCAAUAUUUGGCAAACCAGGCUGAUGCCUAAGAACUCUCCUUUCUGUUUGAGGCAAAGAAUGUGAUUUUCUUCUAACUGCACAGAGAAACGAGGUACAGCCAUUAGUCAGACACCUGCAGUCAGUGCAAGAAACAAGAAAGCAACAGUAGCAAAAUCAUUCUACUUUUUUAUAAUAAAUCUGGAAUAGCCAAACUGUCCUUAACCAGAGGGAUAAAACCACACAGAGCUGAAGGCUCCAUCCCCCUUUGGAUGAAACAGUUGAUAAAAACAUUGCAGUGGCAAUGCCAUUCUGUUCCUAGCAGCACCUGGGACAAUGCUGUUGAGGGAUUCCCCAUUUCAGUUCCUCCAGGAAGGUGUUGUGUCUCCAAACCAGUCGGACUCAUCUCUUCCAGAAGCCCUGGUGACACGCAGACAGUAGCUCUCACCCUGCACCGUGAGCGUGGCCCCCGUUCCCAUCUCCCCUCCACUCCCAGCUCAUCCCUUUCUGCAGAUCCAUAGGGAUGCCUGCACCCCCUCCCCUUCCCAGCCUGUGCUGCAGGUACAGCAAAGGGACAGUUUGUUCAGGGAAGCCUCUCCCUCCCAGAGCUGCUCCCUGGCUUCCACUGAACUUCCCCAGCAGAACCAGCCUGCCUUGAAACUCUCCUCCAAUUCCCAGUGCAGACACAUGUCUUUGGAAAAGAGGUUUUCCUGAGUAAAUAUUGCACAUAUGUUGCUUAAAAACCAGUUCUCACUGCAAAGAACACAAAUACUAAUUUAGGGAUACGUUUCUGUUUUAUCAAACCCAAUAUCUGCUUUCAAAAACCAUGAUUCCCCUCCUACCAGGCUGCUGACCAAUAUAUUCUGUUUCUUUUCACUGAAACUCACAAUCAUGCUGCGUUUUCCUGUGGAGAUGAAAAUUGGAAAAUAGGUGUACAGGUUUAUUCUGUCAUCUUGACAAUCUGAUUUUGCCUUCUGAUGUUUUAAUCCACUUUCCAUACUUUCAACACCAACAACUUCUGACAAACUUUUACUCACCCUUGCAGAUAACAUCCUCAUAAGUGACCUUACAUUUGUCAGAGGCUUGGAACAUGAACUUAUUUCCUUUUAUCACUCUGUACUAAAAAGGAAGAAAAUGAACCAUUAUUAUAAAGGGCUUUCCUCUCCUCCCUUUUAAUUCUCCUUAGGAAUAACAGUUGCCUUUCAUUUUAUCUUUUCCCUCUCAACUACAGGUACAAUCCUAUUGUAUCACUUGCUGAUGCCUUUAAGCAUACAAUUUCAGCUCAAAUGCAUUCCUCAAAUCAAUGAAAAUGAAUUAAAUUAGUACCUGCAGGCAAAAGAAAUUAAAUAAAAUGUACAAUAACACAAGUUUUAAAUGUUCUUCUCUGUUCAAAAAGAGUAAUAUUCACUGGCUGAUAUUCAAAUAAACAAUUCUGUGCCACUAAAAUGAAAUAUCCAUAUCUUCAUUUUUUUUCUUUUUAAAAUUUAAGAUUUUUUUCAGUGUUCCAAUAGAAAAAGGUAACAAUCUAUUCUCCUACAGAGAAAAGUAAGAUAGAGGACCUUCAUAUGUGUUUGAAAUAAUUACAUCACUGACAAAAAGACUGGUUUUCUAGGAGCUAAAAGUGAAUUUCUUCCUUCACCCACAGAAGAAAACAAAAUCUGUGGAAAAAGCAAUCCAUGUUAAGCUAUCACUAUGGUAUUUUUAGGAGCAAGAAUUGUACACAUCCUGGUCUCUGCUUGGAGCACGAGUAAGGAUUUCAGUUUCUGAUACAAUUAUCUUCAAGAAGCAAGGCUGAGCACACACCCACAUUUAAAAUGAGAUGGUGAAUGUUCAGUAACACUGUCACCUGUGAUUUUCCUAGAUGAAAUUAGGAUUUGUGCCAGUUAUUAUUGCUAAAUGUUCAGCACCACCUCCAACAUCCCUGCUUACAGAAUCUGAACUAUGUGUUAUAAACCUUUUCUAUCUAAACCACAAUCAAAUAAACCUACCUUGAUUCAAAAAUAAGAUUCACUGCAUUAGCAGUUCCUUAUAAAGAGAAAUAAAUUGUGGAAAUGAACCUUUUGACUAGUACUAUGUGCACAGCACUGUGUGGUAGCCAUAAAUCCAAGAGGAAGAAAUUAUUUCAGGAAGUAACAGGGCUGCAUUAGUGCCAUGAAUGCACGGACUCCUAGUCUAAAUCAGGCAGGAGUCCCAAGGGAUAUGUCACAGUUCCCUCUUUCUUCUUCCAAAUUAAAGUAAAAAGGGUUUAAGCACCUGCUAGAAUUAAUUUUUCCUUUGAAAAAUAAGGAAUUUUAGAAUACAGGACAAAAAUAAGAACAAAACAGCUUUCAGACUUGCUUUCCUUUGCUUCGUUCUGCCUAAGGCCUACCUGAUUAGCUUGUUCAGCCCCAGGCACUAAGGGCCUCAUGAUUUUUCCAGUAUUAACGAGGAACAUUCCAGAUGAGACAGGCAGACAAAGUAAUUUGCCCAAGCUGCCCUCAAGCCCACGGAUUUUUCAAACUCCAGCCUAACUCCAUGACCAACAGCCCAUCCCUGGCUUUGCAGUAGCUGAGAACCCAGAGCACAUUUCAAAACCUCAUGUGGAGUUUGACUGCAGCCCAGCUAAUGCUGCCUCCAAGAGAACUCAUCCUGUGAGCGUGGGGGAGCCUGGGGCUGCCAGGCUGAGCUGUGCCAGCUGCCCAGAGCCCCGGGCAGGGCUGGCAGCUCCCCGUGCCCAGAAUCCAUCCCUGGUGCUGGGAGGAACCAAACCCGCAUCCUGCCCAAAGGGACACCUGCUACAGGCAGGCCCAGAUGAAACCUCAGCCCUGGAAGGCCUUCCUUUGGAAUUGGAAAAGGAUGGGUUUUGUGGGCAGCUAUUUUUAAAUUUUUCCUUUCAAAUACCCGUGAAAGCAUCUACUAAUUUCAGAUGAUGUCACGCAUAGAAAGUGAGUGAGCACACUUCUUUUUUCCCUAAGAUUUGAAACAGACUAAAAAGAAUAAUUAUUUCCUCUUAUUUUUUAAUGAGAAUUGCCAGCCCCUCAGCAGGUGGAAGGACAUUGCCUGCAGGAGCUUUUUUGUUGGCUAAAAACUUGGUUCAUAUAAUCAGCAUGGUAAUUAGCAAGCUCUUUGCUAUUAAAAGGAACUCAUUACUGCUAUAUUUUGCUGAUUGAUCCAUACUCAUGAAGUAAUUUAAAAAUGUAAAAAGCAUUUUGUGAGCCACUUAAAAUCUUCAAUAUGAAUAUUGAGACAAUGUAACUGACAGUUGUCUUUGACUAAACUUCAAUCUGUAAUUCUUUAGCCAUUCAAGCAAACUCACGGGGAACUGGAAAAUGAAAAUAAUUUGCUAAAGUCAUAUAUAGUUCGCUGCUACUUGUCAGAAUUCCCUUGCAAGGGAUGGGGCCUUUGUAUCAAGGACAUGCUCACCUCAGUUUCUGUGACAUUUUUAGAGCAAUCAAAGAGGCCAAGCUCCCACAGAACUCGUUGGAGUCACUGGAUUGCCCCGGCUGACUCUGCCCUUGCUGCCCUUUGGCCUCAGGGCUCGUGGGAGGCUGCCCUGCCCAUGGAGCCACAUCAGGACAUGGCCCUCCGAGCGGCCAUGGGAAGGGGAAAUCACCUCUACUCGAAAUUCAUGCUUAGCAUAGAUCUCAAACUCUCGUAGGAUGAGUUACUUUCAGCUUUGGACCCGCUGCCAGGUUUUCUCAUGCUUCAAAAAGAGCUGAUAAAUUAUCCAACAAUUUCUAAUAUUGAAAUGCCAAGAGGAGGGAGAAGAAUGAGGGAAAGAUGACAAGAGGGUGGACACACGUCAAAUGUUCAAAGAAUUUCCCUUAUUCAGGGAAAUCUUGAGUGAAAUUCUGCCUCCAAUUAAGUCAACAGACAGCUCAUUGAACUCAACAGUGCCAGGAUUUCGUCCUUGACCUACUGCUUUGAACUCUAUCCUUUAGUGCUUCCAGCAAACAGCCUGUUCCUUUCCUCCUGCCCAGCUCAGGUGCCAAUGCAUUUCCAAGCUGGCUGACACUGUUCUUUUAGGCAUACAAAAAGAAUUGCCAUGGCAAUGCAAUCUGCUAUUUAUAGGCUCCACAGCAGCCCCAAAUUAUUUUACAACCCAAGAGGACAUGACUAGUAACUGAGAUAGAUACAUUUUUGACAGGGAUCAUCUGUAACUAUGGCCAGCCUAAUUCACCUGCUACGAAAGUAAAAAGCAGACUCGAGUGAGAGCUGGGUCUGGCCCUAAAAUCAUGCAGUGUGGUCACCCAGCACCUGCAAUAGGAAGGGAAUACAGAUUUCAGCUCAGUCAUGAGAGUCAAGAUCUGUCUGCCCCUGUCCUGCAAGGGCAAAGGACAACCACACCCAGUUUGUGUGCCUCUGUGUAAAUCUGAUGGGCACUUGGUGUGUCAGAGUGAUUUCCACAGCUCAGCUGGGUGGUUCUCAUUCCGUGCUCCCAAUGGCAGAUUUUCCUGCCAGCACUAACACUGCCAAUGUGCUGUUCAGAGCAAUUCCUUUAAGAUAAUGAAUUUCAAUCUUUAAAGAUCUAUUUCCCUUCUCUAUUCCUUCCCAUUUCCAUAUUUUGAAGAUGAAAGUAUUAUGCUAUUUCAGCCUUUGUUCUUGUUUUUUUGGUGUAUUAAAUAUUUUUAGGCUCUUUUUUCUACCCACAAAAAUAAGUGCUUAUAACAC
This 6020-nucleotide long non-coding RNA is filed under the name Taeniopygia guttata (zebra finch). RNAcentral describes it as "lncRNA (ENSTGUG00000026766.1)". Lineage: Eukaryota; Metazoa; Chordata; Aves; Passeriformes; Estrildidae. The record is from RNAcentral.